AUCAUGCUAGGCUCACCCGAGCCCAUAACUACCCAUUACCUGACCACCCGGCCCGGACCAUAACACUUCACCGACCUGAGUUGAGCUGACCUUCAGCUGUCCCCAGCUCAGUGAGCUAGUCUUUCAGCUCAUGUGAGCUGGCCAAGACUGAAUGAGCUAGCUCCACACUUCCUCCAGCUGAUCGAGCUUGAUCCGGACCUCGCCCAGCUACCGGAUCACUCGUCCACCUCCCUUAAACUCGCGUUUACCCUUUUCUAGUUAAGUCUCAGCUUCCUGAUGCCCUUAACCAUGUUAUUGAGCUAUGAUACGCUUGUCUCUUGGUCUGAUGACCUGACUACUGCGUCUCCUCGCAUCAUGGCUCGUCCCGAAUGAUCAUGUCUAGGAUCGGGGAUGCUACACAAAGUUAGUGUUGAAAACUAAUAAAUAAAAAUCUGUACUAUUAUUAUUAAAAAAAUCUGUACUAAGAGAAAUUACCUAUGAUAGACCUAAAAAGGUUUUUUCACAAGUAUAGAUCUUAAAAAUAAAAAUGACUAAAAUAGACUUAAAUGUUUUAUCAAAAGAAGCAAAUAUACACUUAUACCUCUAGGGUUAAUUAAUCUAGACAUUAGGGUUUAGAGUAAAAGAGUGGAGUUUAGGGUUUAAGGUUUAAGGUUUAGGAUCUAGGGCUUAGAAUUUAGGGUUUAGGGUUUAUAGUUGAGGAGUGGGGUUUUGGAGAUAGGAUUUAAAUUUUUUUAAAAAUAUUUAAAAUUUUUAAAAAAUUAAAAUUUUCAAAAUAAAAAAUUGCUAUUUUGAUAAUUUUAGUAUUUGGAAUCUAUUUUUGUGACAAAAAGUUAAAAAAGUCUAUUUGAGAGAAUUGUCCUAUAAUUAGUGAUGUGAUAUAUUGUUAAGAUAAUGUAAUUAAUAAAAUUGUUAAACUGAAUAAAAUAUGGAAAAACAAUUAAUGUAAUAUAUUAAUAAAAUUACCAAAAUAACACUAUACUUUUUUUAAUAAUUCUAUAUGUGUUUCCAAACAUUUUCAUUUAUACUCCUAUUUAUGCUUUCAAAUAACUCUAAUAUGUACAUCACUUUUGAAAAUAUAAAUACUAGAAAUGAUGAAUUCAGUCUUAAUUUAUAAAUGAAGUGAAUAAAAAGGAGGCUACCACCGUCCCCAAUGGGCAAUAUAAUUAGUGAUGUGAUAUAUUGUUAAGAUAAUAUAAUUAAUAAAAUUGUUAAACUGAAUAAAAUAUGGAAAAACAAUUAAUGUAAUAUAUUAAUAAAAUUACUAAAAUAACACUAUAAUUUUUUUAAUACUUCUAUAUGUAUUUCCAAACAUUUUCAUUGAAAGGAGGCUACCACCGGCCCCAGUGGGCAAUGGCCACUGCUCACUAGAACGCAGAAUGGUACGUUACAUAUGACUGAUUUUCUGCAAUCACGCGUAAACGCAGUUUUUGCGGUUCAUAAUGAUUGUUGGCGUUUUACAACAUUCACUCAAACUGCUUCAAACCGCUUUAAACCUCAUAAAUUUAAAAAUUGGUUCCAGUUAGCGUUUGCGGUUGCGGGAUGAUACAUUUUUUUUUAAAUACUAUAAAUACAAAAAUAAAAAUAUUCAAUAAAAAAAUUAAAUUGGAAUUAUAAAAAUACUAAAAUAUAUCUAUUAUAUUUUAACUAAUAUUAUACAAUUUUAAAAUAAAAAUAUUUUCUAUAAUUUUCAAACUAUAACUUUCUAAAUAUAAUUUUUAUAUUUAUUAUAAUAUUAUGAUUUUUGAUAAUUUUAUAAUUAUAUAAAAUAUUAAUAUUGUUAAUUUAUUCUUUAAUCGAUGAUGCAUUUUGUAGUUAACCAGUCAUAAGGAUCCUACAAACGUACCAAUGUCUAACAGCAUAAUCAAUCGUAUAAAUCUCUUAAAACCGCUAGAAACCGCAACCAUCCACAUCCGCAAACUCCCACAACCGCAAACGCAACUGCUGCGUUUGAACGAGUGAGGCCCUAAAUAUACCUCCCAUAACGUUCUUUCUAAAACUACCAUUAUGUAUUGUUUUUUUUUAUUAUUUAUAUUAUUAAAAUUGAAGUAAAUUUUGGUACUGUUUGGAAACAUGAAUAACAAAAUAAAUGAAAAUUGUUUGGAAAUAUGAAUAGCAGUACUUUUAAUACUUAUUUUUAUUUACACAUUUCAUUUACAAUAAAUUAAGUAUUUUCUUUUUGUAUUUCUUUUUAUUUGCAAAUUAUGCCAUUACAUUUAAAAUCAAUUUAAAUUAGUUAAUUACAAUUUUAAAAUUUAUAUAACCAAAUUGAUAUUCAUAUUAAUAUUGUACAAAUAUUAAUUAACUAAAUCACAUGUAGUCAAAUAUAAAAAUUUAAUAUUUUGUGAACAACUAAAACAUCAUAAUCCCACCAUUAAUUUAUAUUGUAACUAGAUCAAGUAUAAGAUAUAUUUAAUAUUUUAUAUUUAUAUAUUUUAUUUAAUAAAUAAAAUAUUACUUAAUGUUAGCUUAACUUUAUAUAUAUUCUCCUUUUCUUAUAUCUAACAAAAAGAUAGUUACUAUUAUUUAAAUUUCAUCAAAAUACUUAUUAUGAUUUAGACCUAAAUAUACAUAAAAAUUAUUAGAUAUGCAUUUAAAAGAAUUAAAUAAGAGUAUUUUAAAUACAAUUAUUCAUAAAAUAAGUAUAUAAUAAUCAUACUUUCAUUUUAAAAAUUUGAUAAAUAUAAAAAAAGGUUAGAUAUAUGCAUAAGUAUUAAUCUUUUAUGUCAUUCAAAUAGAAAUACUAAUAAAAUAUAUUAUUAAAACUAAAUUACUUUUUGGUACUGUUUAGAAACAUAGAUAACAAUAUAAAUAAAAAUUGCUUGGAAACAUGGAUAGGAGUAUUUUUAGUACUCUCUUUUAUUUACACAUUUAGUCAUUGAAUUUAAAAUAAAUUAAAUACUUUCUUCUUUUUUUUUUCACAGAUUCUUCCAGUGUAUUUAAAAUCAAUUUAAAUUGAUUACUUGCAAUUCCAAAGCUUAUCUAACCAAAUCGAUAUUGAUAUAUUGACCAUUAUUAAUAUUGUACGAAUAUUAAUAAACUAAAUUGCAUGUAGUCAAAUAUAAAAAUUUUGAGAAUUCAAAUUUCAAGAAAACAAAAUAUCAUAAAAUUAAUAAUAA
Brassica rapa (field mustard) is the source of this 3116-nucleotide long non-coding RNA. RefSeq lists it as uncharacterized. NCBI's taxonomy places the organism in Eukaryota, Viridiplantae, Streptophyta, Magnoliopsida, Brassicales, Brassicaceae. The record is from RefSeq and is a predicted model, not a curated record.